RNAcentral lists this ribosomal RNA (513 nucleotides) under uncultured bacterium. Its description in RNAcentral is "partial 16S ribosomal RNA". It matches the Rfam family "Bacterial small subunit ribosomal RNA", at positions 28 to 523 of the family's 1533-position model. The record is from RNAcentral.
GACGAACGCUGGCGGCAUGCCUAAUACAUGCAAGUCGAGCGAACGGAUGAAGUGCUUGCACUUCUGACGUUAGCGGCGAACGGGUGAGUAACACGUAAGGAAUCUACCUAUAAGCGGGGGAUAACAUUCGGAAACGGGUGCUAAUACCGCAUAAUAUCUUCUUCCGCAUGGAAGAAGAUUGAAAGACGGCUCUGCUGUCACUUAUAGAUGACCUUGCGGUGCAUUAGUUAGUUGGUGGGGUAAUGGCCUACCAAGACGAUGAUGCAUAGCCGGCCUGAGAGGGUGAUCGGCCACAUUGGGAAUGAGACACGGCCCAAACUCCUACGGGAGGCAGCAGUAGGGAAUCUUCCGCAAUGGGCGAAAGCCUGACGGAGCAAUGCCGCGUGAGUGAAGAAGGCCUUCGGGUCGUAAAACUCUGUUAUAAGAGAAGAACAAAUUGUAGAGUAACUGCUACAGUCUUGACGGUAUCUUAUCAGAAAGCCACGGCUAACUACGUGCCAGCCGCCGCUGUAA